CCAAUAGCGUAUAUUAAAGUUGUUGCAGUUAAAAAGCUCGUAGUUGAAUUUCGGGAUCGACGGGUCGGUCGCGCCUCUGGUGUGUACUGGCCCUGUCGGUUUCUCCCUUCUGAAGAACCGCGAUGUCAUUAAUUUGGUGUCGUGGGAAAUCAGGACUGUUACUUUGAAAAAAUUAGAGUGUUUAAAGCAGGCAUUCGCUUGAAUACAUUAGCAUGGAAUAAUGAAAUAGGACGUUUGAUCUUAUUUUGUUGGUUUCUAAGAUCGACGUAAUGAUUAAUAGGGAUAGUUGGGGGCAUUAGUAUUCAAUUGUCAGAGGUGAAAUUCUUGGAUUUAUUGAAGACUAACUACUGCGAAAGCAUUUGCCAAGGAUGUUUUCAUUAAUCAAGAACGAAAGUUAGGGGAUCGAAGACGAUCAGAUACCGUCGUAGUCUUAACCAUAAACUAUGCCGACUAGGGAUCGGAUGAUGUUAAUUUUUUAAUGACUCAUUCGGCGCCUUACG
Molecule: ribosomal RNA, 500 nt
Filed under: uncultured Glomeromycotina
Lineage: Eukaryota; Fungi; Glomeromycota
Description: partial small subunit ribosomal RNA
Rfam family: Eukaryotic small subunit ribosomal RNA
Source: RNAcentral